This 592-nucleotide ribosomal RNA is filed under the name uncultured bacterium. RNAcentral describes it as "bacterial SSU rRNA". It matches the Rfam family "Bacterial small subunit ribosomal RNA", at positions 889 to 1482 of the family's 1533-position model. The record is from RNAcentral.
CAAGGUUAAAACUCAAAUGAAUUGACGGGGGCCCGCACAAGCGGUGGAGCAUGUGGUUUAAUUCGAUGCAACGCGAAGAACCUUACCUACUCUUGACAUCCAGAGAACUUAGCAGAGAUGCUUUGGUGCCUUCGGGAACUCUGAGACAGGUGCUGCAUGGCUGUCGUCAGCUCGUGUUGUGAAAUGUUGGGUUAAGUCCCGCAACGAGCGCAACCCUUAUCCUUUGUUGCCAGCGAUUCGGUCGGGAACUCAAAGGAGACUGCCGGUGAUAAACCGGAGGAAGGUGGGGAUGACGUCAAGUCAUCAUGGCCCUUACGAGUAGGGCUACACACGUGCUACAAUGGCGUAUACAAAGAGAAGCGACCUCGCGAGAGCAAGCGGAACUCAUAAAGUACGUCGUAGUCCGGAUUGGAGUCUGCAACUCGACUCCAUGAAGUCGGAAUCGCUAGUAGUCGUAGAUCAGAAUGCUACGGUGAAUACGUUCCCGGGCCUUGUACACACCGCCCGUCACACCAUGGGAGUGGGUUGCAAAAGAAGUAGGUAGCUUAACCUUCGGGGGGCGCUUACCACUUUGUGAUUCAUGACUGGGGUG